RNAcentral lists this ribosomal RNA (242 nucleotides) under uncultured Streptococcus sp. RNAcentral describes it as "partial 16S ribosomal RNA". It matches the Rfam family "Bacterial small subunit ribosomal RNA", at positions 1144 to 1382 of the family's 1533-position model. Lineage: Bacteria; Bacillati; Bacillota; Bacilli; Lactobacillales; Streptococcaceae. The record is from RNAcentral.
CGAGACUGCCAGUAAUAACCGGAGGAAGGUGGGGAUGACGUCAAAUCAUCAUGCCCCUUAUGACCUGGGCUACACACGUGCUACAAUGGUUGGUACAACGAGUUGCGAGUCGGGUGACGGCGAGCUAAUCUCUUAAAGCCAAUCUCAGUUCGGAUUGUAGGCUGCAACUCGCCUACAUGAAGUCGGAAUCGCUAGUAAUCGCGGAUCAGCACCGCCGCCGGUGAAUACGUUCCCGGGUCCUU